UACCCAAUAAAGGAAGUUGUAAUCCCUAUUUUCUCCAGAGGGUUAAUCCUUGAUAUGUUCAUCCUAACCGAUGACGGGUUUCCUCCUCUUUUUGGUCUUCUGCCCAAUAGCCGGUACUUGUAAAUCCUAUUUCCCCUUUUGCGGAGUCUAUCCUUGAUAUGUUCAUCCUAACCGGUGACAAAUAUUCUCUCUUUUGGUAUUCUAUCCAAUAACCGAUAGAUAUAAU
RNAcentral lists this long non-coding RNA (226 nucleotides) under Lathyrus oleraceus (garden pea). RNAcentral describes it as "Pisum sativum (pea) long non-coding RNA (PSAT_LNC017341)". The record is from RNAcentral. Lineage: Eukaryota; Viridiplantae; Streptophyta; Magnoliopsida; Fabales; Fabaceae.